AAAAAUAGGCCGUGGGCCCAGCCGCGCCCAAAAAUAACCACCCGAAGGCCGGGGCGCCAAGUUCGUCCAGCGGAAAAAUGCCAUAAAAACGGGUGGGCUAUAGCCUUAGGGGGUGGGGCUGGCCAACAUCGUCCGCCGGACUUGGAAUGGCGCGAGACUUUGCGAUGCGCCUCCAUGUGCCAAAAAUAGGCCGUGGGCUCAGCCUCAGCCAAAAAUAACAGCCGGAAGGCCGGGGCGCCAAGUUCGUCUCGCGGAAAAAGGCCACAAAAACGGGUGGGCUAUAGCCUUGGGGGGUGGGGCUGGCCAACUUCGCCCGCCGGACUCGGAAUGGCGCAAUACUUUGCGAAGCGCCUCCGUGUGCCAUAAAGUGGCCGUGGGCACAGCCGCUCCCAAAAAUAACCGCCUGAAGGCCGGGGCGCCACGUUCGUCCACCGGAAAAAGCCAACAAAAACGGGUGGGCUAUAGCCUUGGGGGGUGGGGCUGGCCAACUUCGUCCGCCGGACUCGGAAUGGCGCGAGACUUUGCGAGGCACCUCAGUGUACCAAAAAUAGGCCGCGGGCCCAGCCGCGCCCAAAAAUAACCGCCCGAAGGCCGGGGCGCCAAGUUCGUCCAGCGGAAAAAUGCCACAAAAACGGGUGGGCUAUAGCCUUGGGGGGUGGGGCUGGCCAACUUUGUCCGCCGGAGUCGGAAUGGUGCGAGAAUUUGUGAGGCACCUCCGUGUGCCAAAAAUAGGCCGCGGGCACAGCCGCGCCAAAAAAUAACAGCCCGAAGGCCGGGGCGCCAAGUUCGUCCAGCGGAAAAAGCCCACAAAAACGGGUGGGCUAUAGCCUUGGGGGGUGGGGCUGGCCAACAUCGUCCGUCGGACUCGGAAUGGCGCGAGACUUUGCGAUGCGCCUCCGUGUGUGAAAAAUAGGCCGCGGGUGCAGCCGCAGCCAAAAAUAACAGCCCGAAGGCCGGGGCGCCAAGUUCGUCCAGCGGAAAAAUGCCACAAAAAUGGGUGGGCUAUAGCCUUGGGGGGUGGGACUGGCCAACUUCGUCCGCCGGACUUGGAAUGGCGCGAGACUUUGCGAGGUGCCUCCGUGUGCCAAAAAGUGGCCGCGGGCACAGCUGCACCCAAAAAUAACAGCCCAAAGGCCGGGGCUCCAAGUUCGUCCCGCGGAAAAAGGCCACAAAAACGGGUGGGCUAUAGCCUUGGGGGGUGGGGCUGGCCAACUUCGCCCGCCGAACUCGGAAUGGCGCAAUACUUUCCGAAGCGCCUCCGUGUGCCAUAAAGUGGCCGUGGGCACAGCCGCUCCCAAAAAUAACCGCCUGAAGGCCGGGGCGCCACGUUCGUCCACCGGAAAAAGCCAACAAAAACGGGUGGGCUAUAGCCUUGGGGGGUGGGGCUGGCCAACUUCGUCCGCCGGACUCGGAAUGGCGCGAGACUUUGCGAGGCACCUCAGUGUACCAAAAAUAGGCCGCGGGCCCAGCCGCGCCCAAAAAUAACCACCCGAAGGCCGGGGCGCCAAGUUCGUCCAGCGGAAAAAUGCCAUAAAAACGGGUGGGCUAUAGCCUUAGGGGGUGGGGCUGGCCAACAUCGUCCGCCGGACUUGGAAUGGCGCGAGACUUUGCGAUGCGCCUCCAUGUGCCAAAAAUAGGCCGUGGGCUCAGCCUCAGCCAAAAAUAACAGCCGGAAGGCCGGGGCGCCAAGUUCGUCUCGCGGAAAAAGGCCACAAAAACGGGUGGGCUAUAGCCUUGGGGGGUGGGGCUGGCCAACUUCGCCCGCCGGACUCAGAAUGGCGCAAUACUUUGCGAAGCGCCUCCGUGUGCCAAAAAGUGGCCGUGGGCACAGCCGCUCCCAAAAAUAACCGCCUGAAGGCCGGGGCGCCACGUUCGUCCACCGGAAAAAGCCAACAAAAACGGGUGGGCUAUAGCCUUGGGGGGUGGGGCUGGCCAACUUCGUCCGCCGGACUCGGAAUGGCGCGAGACUUUGCGAGGCACCUCAGUGUACCAAAAAUAGGCCGCGGACACAGCCGCGCCCAAAAAUAACCGCCCGAAGGCCGGGGCACCAAGUUCGUCCAGCGGAAAAAUGCCACAAAAACGGGUGGGCUAUAGCCUUAGGGGGUGGGGCUGGCCAACAUCGUCCGCCUGACUUGGAAUGGCGCGAGACUUUGCGAUGCACCUCCAUGUGCCAAAAAUAGGCCGUGGGCUCAGCCUCAGCCAAAAAUAACAGCCCAGAAAGCCGGGGCGCCUAGUUCGUCCACCGGAAAAAGGCNNNNNNNNNNNNNNNNNNNNNNNNNNNNNNNNNNNNNNNNNNNNNNNNNNNNNNNNNNNNNNNNNNNNNNNNNNNNNNNNNNNNNNNNNNNNNNNNNNNNNNNNNNNNNNNNNNNNNNNNNNNNNNNNNNNNNNNNNNNNNNNNNNNNNNNNNNNNNNNNNNNNNNNNNNNNNNNNNNNNNNNCAAAAACGGGUGGGUUAUAGCAUUGGGGGGGGGGGCUGGCGGACUUCGUCCGCCGGACUCGGAAUGGCGCGAGACUUUGCGAGGUGCCUCUGUGUACCAAAACUAGGCCGUGGACACAGCCGCGCACAAAAAUAACCGCCCGAAGGCCGGAGCGCCAAGUUCGUCCAGCGGAAAAAUGCCACAAAAACGGGUGGGCUAUAACUUCGGGGGGUGGGGCUGGCCAACUUCGUCCGCCGGACUCGGAAUGGCGCGAAACUUUGCGAGGCGCCUCUGUUUGCCAAAAAUAGGCCGCGGGCACAGCCGCGCCCAAAAAUAACUGCCCGAAGGCCGGGGCGCCAAGUUCGUCCAGCGGAAAAAUGCCACAAAAAUGGGUGGGCAAUAGCCUUGGGGGGUGGGGCAGGCCAACUUCGUCCGCCGGAGUCGGAAUGGUGCGAGAAUUUGUGAGGCGUCUCCGUGUGCCAAAAAUAGGCCGCGGACACAGCCGUGCCCAAAACUAACAGCCCGAAGGCCGGGGCGCCAAGUUCGUCCAGCGGAAAAAGCCCACAAAAACGGGUGGGCUAUCGCAUUGGGGGGUGGGGCUGGCCAACUUCGUCCGCCGGACUCGGAAUGGCGCGAGACUUUGCGAGGCACCUCCGUGUGCCAAAAAUAGGCCACGGGUGCAGCCGCGUCCAAAAAUAACUGCCCGAAGGCUGGGGCGCCAAGUUCGUCCAACGGAAAAAUGCCACAAAAACGGGUGGGCUAUAGCCAUAGGGGGUGGGGCUGGCCAACAUCGUCAGCCGGACUCGGAAUGGCGGGAGACUUUGCGAGGCACCUCCGUGAGCCCAAAAUAGGCCCCGGGCACAGCCGCGCCCAAAAAUAACAGCCCGAAGGCCGGGGCGCCAAGUUCGUCCAGCGGAAAAAGCCCACAAAAACGGGUGGGCUAUAGCAUUGGGGGGUGGGGCUGGCCAAAUUCGUCCGCCGGACUCGGAAUGGCGCGAGACUCUGCGAGGCGCCUCCGUGUGCCAAAAAUAGGCCACGGGUACAGCCGCGCCCAAAAAUAACUGCCCGAAGGCCGGGGCGCCAAGUUCGUCCAGCGGAAAAAUGCCACAAAAACGGGUGGGCUAUAGCCAUAGGGGGUGGGGCUGGCCAACAUCGUCAGCCGGACUCGGAAUGGCGGGAGACUUUGCGAGGCGCCUCCGUGAGCCCAAGAUAGGCCCCGGCCACAGCCGCGCCCAAAAAUAGCCACCCGAAGGGCGGGGCGCCAAGUUCGUCCAGCGGAAAAAUGCCACAAAAAUGGGUGGGCAAUAGCCUUGGGGAGUGGGGCUGGCCAACUUCGUCCGCCGGAGUCGGAAUGGUGCGAGAAUUUGUGAGGCGUCUCCGUGUGCCAAAAAUAGGCCGCGGGCACAGCCACGCCCAAAAAUAACAGCCCGAAGGCCGGGGCGCCAAGUUCGUCCAGCGGAAAAAGCCCACAAAAACGGGUGGGCUAUAGCAUUGGGGGGUGGGGCUGGCCAACUUCGUCCGCCGGACUCGGAAUGGCGCGAGACUUUGCGAGGCGCCUCCGUGUGCCAAAAAUAGGCCACGGGUACAGCCACUCCCAAAAAUAACUGCCCGAAGGCCGGGGCGCCAAG
This 4044-nucleotide long non-coding RNA is filed under the name Citrus x clementina. RNAcentral's name for it is "Citrus clementina (C. clementina) long non-coding RNA (CCLE_LNC006118)". Lineage: Eukaryota; Viridiplantae; Streptophyta; Magnoliopsida; Sapindales; Rutaceae. The record is from RNAcentral.